UGCCCGGUGGUGUAAUGGUAACACUACGGAUUUUGGUUCCGUCAUUCCAGGUUCGAGUCCUGGCCGGGUAG
This 71-nucleotide transfer RNA is filed under the name Planctomycetota bacterium. Its description in RNAcentral is "tRNA-Gln". It matches the Rfam family "tRNA". Rfam says of the family: Transfer RNA (tRNA) molecules are approximately 80 nucleotides in length. Their secondary structure includes four short double-helical elements and three loops (D, anti-codon, and T loops). The record is from RNAcentral. Lineage: Bacteria; Pseudomonadati; Planctomycetota. RNAcentral also lists the same sequence under 1 other name.